This 459-nucleotide ribosomal RNA is filed under the name uncultured bacterium. RNAcentral's name for it is "partial 16S ribosomal RNA". It matches the Rfam family "Bacterial small subunit ribosomal RNA", at positions 338 to 795 of the family's 1533-position model. The record is from RNAcentral.
CCUACGGGAGGCAGCAGUGAGGAAUAUUGGUCAAUGGGCGCGAGCCUGAACCAGCCAAGUCGCGUGAGGGAAGACGGUCCUAUGGAUUGUAAACCUUUUUUGUCGGGGAGCAAAAGCCGCCACGUGAGGCGUUCCGAGAGUACCCGAAGAAAAAGCAUCGGCUAACUCCGCGCCAGCAGCCGCGGUACUACGGAGGAUGCGAGCGUUAUCCGGAUUUAUUGGGUUAAAAGGGUGAGCAGGCGGAAGAGCAAGUCAGCGGUAAAAUUGAGGGGUUCACCCUCUUCGAGCCGUUGAAACUGGUUGUCUUGAGUGAGCGAGAAGUAUGCGGAAUGCGUGGUGUAGCGGUGAAAUGCAUAGAUAUCACGCAGAACUCCGGUGGCGAAGGCAGCAUACCGGCGCUCAACUGACGCUCAUGCACGAAAGUGUGGGUAUCGAACAGGAUUAGAUACCCCUGUAGUC